RNAcentral lists this long non-coding RNA (337 nucleotides) under Elaeis guineensis (African oil palm). RNAcentral describes it as "long non-coding RNA (EGUI_LNC020420)". The record is from RNAcentral. Lineage: Eukaryota; Viridiplantae; Streptophyta; Magnoliopsida; Arecales; Arecaceae.
AUAUACUCUCAAAUGAUUUUAAGUACAAAUGAGAGAUGUUAGAGCAUGGUAUACUCUAAAAACUAUUUGCAUAUAAUUGUAAAUUUUUAUUAGAUUAUUUUGUAUGGAUUUUUUCCUUGCCAUGAUCACAAAUAAUGUAAGGUAUGUGUCACACAUCAGCCAUAGAUCCAAAAAUUGGUACUACAAGGGUUUAUCCUAGUGGAUGGUAUCCAAAGAAAUGAUUGGAUAAACUUAAGUACUCGAAAUUUCAUCACAGUUAUAGAUGGGGUUAUGCAUUGUACUUAUAAAAUUGUUAUGAUGAAUAAUAAAAGCAUGAAGUUCCACCUUCUUUCAGGUU